AUCGCUUCUCGGCCUUUUGGCUAAGAUCAAGUGUAGUAUCUAUUCUUACCAGUUUAAAAACAAAUGCUAAUGUGUUAUCUUGGUAGUCACUCGUAUCUUCUGUUGAUUCUAUCCUUCACCUAUGGUUGCUCUCAAAUAGUGCCUGCUUUGGAAAACUGUUCUUUUUCUUACGCUUGGCGGAUCGUGAAUUGCAUCA
Small nuclear RNA from Zalophus californianus (California sea lion), 196 nucleotides. Its record names the gene U2. It matches the Rfam family "U2 spliceosomal RNA". Rfam says of the family: U2 is a small nuclear RNA (snRNA) component of the spliceosome (involved in pre-mRNA splicing). Complementary binding between U2 snRNA (in an area lying towards the 5' end but 3' to hairpin I) and the branchpoint sequence (BPS) of the intron results the bulging out of an unpaired adenosine, on the BPS, which initiates a nucleophilic attack at the intronic 5' splice site, thus starting the first of two transesterification reactions that mediate splicing. Lineage: Eukaryota; Metazoa; Chordata; Mammalia; Carnivora; Otariidae. The record is from Ensembl.